Molecule: long non-coding RNA, 1704 nt
Organism: Cyprinus carpio (common carp)
Lineage: Eukaryota; Metazoa; Chordata; Actinopteri; Cypriniformes; Cyprinidae
Source: Ensembl
AGUCUCUGAGUCUCUGUCUUGCCCUCCAGGAGCUUUCUGAAGAAGUCAACCAGUGCGUAAUCACCUGAUACUAUGCUAUGACUUCCAUGUGUGCUUUUGCAAAAUGCUUUGUUUAUACCUGACCUUCUGAAACAGGUCUGGCCCUGCUGAGUGGACCGUGCUCUCCUGGAUAUUACUGCACAAAGGAAGCCACUUCAUCCAGGCCUACAGAUGGUCACAGGCAGCAUCUGCCCUCCAGGAACUUACUGUGAGAGGGCUCCAGUGCACCACAGCCAUGUCCAGUGGGGAUUUUCUCCCCAGCAGCGGGCCUCAUGAGCAAGGAUGAGUGUCAGCCCUGUAGAGCAGGUUACUACUGUGCUACCCCAGGCCUUCAGGCUCCUACUGCACCCUGCAUGCAGGGUGAGAACAGCACAGACCAUCACUGUGCAAAACCCAAUUUAAACAAUUUCUACAACUUGUCCUUGUCUUUUUUUUUGGUAGGUUGGCCAGACAGAUGACCUAGCUCUGCCAUGUCUGGUCAGUCAUUACUGUCCCCCAGGAAGCCCUGUCCCAAUUCUUUGUCCAACUGGGACAUAUCAGGACAAGCAGAAGCAGGCGAACUGAACAAUCUUUGAAUCAGGCAAGCUGCAGCCAUCUAAAGCAAACUGUGUGACACACUCCCACAUUUCUAUUUCUGAAAAGCAUACUGAAGCUUGUAACCUAUUUUCAAUGUUUCUCCUACACCAGGGUUUUAUUGUGAUGAAACAUUUGGGGCUGCAAAUAUGUCUGUCCUGCAGUCUUGUCCGAAGGGACAUUACUGUCUUAAAGGAACAGGCUCUGCUGAACAAUUUCCAUGCCCUGCUGGCACCUAUAACCCUCGUGAGCUCAUUGACAGCCAAAACAGCUGUCUAUCGUGUCCGUCAGGACAUUACUGUCCAGAUGCUGGACUUGAAGAACCUACAGGACUGUGUUUGGCUGGUUUCUGGUGUAGAGAAGGCUCCCAUUCACCCAGUCCUAUGGAUGGUCCUACAGUGGCUGUUUGUCCAGUUGGUCACUAUUGUCCAAAAGUACAGGACUAAGGAGUGCUGAGGAGUGCCAGUCAUGCCCUGGAGGGUUUAACUGUGCCUCUACUGGUCUGACUGAACCAUGUGGACUCUGCUCUGAUGGGUAUGUGCCAAGUAAUACAUACACUGUAAUUGCAUUACUGACUGGAUUAACCUUUGGCAUCAUACAGUACUGUAUGUCCCUGAAAGGUUUUAUUGUGCCGAGAAAGCUGAGACUCCUACUCCUAUUGAUGGAGUCUCUGGCCACAUCUGCCCAGAGGGUCAUUAUUGUCCUCCAGGAACCACUCGCCCUGUGCCAUGUGAUCCUGGGACUUUUGUAACCAUCACUCAGGCCUCUCAGUGGUACUGUGUGGAUAGAGCCCGGCUGCUGUGCCCAGAUGGUUGGUGCUUUGGUCUUUUGUUGAUUAUCUUCGAAAUGGAGUACUAGUGUACUGCUUACUGGAUGCGGCGCUCUAUAUACUCCUUACAAUUUUUAAAAAAAGUAUGUGAAACAGUAUGCAUUAUGCAACUCUUCAUAUUUUAAACAGUAGUGUGCUAUUUUACCCAUGCAUAUUUAAUUCUGUGAGAGACAUCCAGUUAUCGUUUUUAUAAAAAUUGUUAUUGUGAAAGUUUUGUAAAAAUCAAAUAAUUCAAAUAAAAUCACAUAUUAUUUUUUAAUGCA